UUAUAUGGUUGUAACAAUAAAUUCUGCUAGGCCAAAGUCCAAGAGAAACCGAGGACGCAGAGGACGCAGGUAAGCAGUUGCAAAGUUGUAAUGCUUCCCCACUGUGUAUGGUUUAGGAUUUGAUGUUUCUGCCAUGCAUCAUGCAUGAAAGUUUAGUAGAAAUAUGGACUAUUAGAAUAAAUAGAAAUGCUUGGAAACCAUUUAAAUGGUUUAGUUAUUAAGGACUUAAAGCUGUAAUUGAGUGAAUUGCUUAAGCAAGCCUAGAAGCCUCUCUAUAUUUGCUAUAUGCUGAAACUUUUCUUUCGAUGCUUUUAUCAAUGUAAGUGACAGGUGUAGGCAUCCUAACUGUUUUGCUUAGAAAAAAUAUUUGGAUGCUUUAUUCUUAUCAUCAUUUCAAAUACUUUAUGUGCAAUGAUAUGGAAUUG
Molecule: long non-coding RNA, 425 nt
Filed under: Phoenix dactylifera (date palm)
Lineage: Eukaryota; Viridiplantae; Streptophyta; Magnoliopsida; Arecales; Arecaceae
Description: long non-coding RNA (PDAC_LNC014173)
Source: RNAcentral